This 492-nucleotide ribosomal RNA is filed under the name uncultured bacterium. RNAcentral's name for it is "partial 16S ribosomal RNA". It matches the Rfam family "Bacterial small subunit ribosomal RNA", at positions 29 to 507 of the family's 1533-position model. The record is from RNAcentral.
AGUGAACGCUGGCGGUAGGCCUAACACAUGCAAGUCGAAUGGCAGCACAGUAAGAGCUUGCUCUUACGGGUGGCGAGUGGCGGACGGGUGAGGAACACAUCGGAAUCUACUUUUUCGUGGGGGAUAACGUAGGGAAACUUACGCUAAUACCGCAUACGACCUACGGGUGAAAGCAGGGGAUCUUCGGACCUUGCGCGAUUGAAUGAGCCGAUGUCGGAUUAGCUAGUUGGCGGGGUAAAGGCCCACCAAGGCGACGAUCCGUAGCUGGUCUGAGAGGAUGAUCAGCCACACUGGAACUGAGACACGGUCCAGACUCCUACGGGAGGCAGCAGUGGGGAAUAUUGGACAAAGGGCGCAAGCCUGAUCCAGCCAUACCGCGUGGGUGAAGAAGGCCUUCGGGUUGUAAAGCCCUUUUGUUGGGAAAGAAAAGCAGCAGGUUAAUACCCCGCUGUUCUGACGGUACCCAAAGAAUAAGCACCGGCUAACUUCGUG